UGGUAGUNCACGCCCUAAACGAUGUCGAUUAGCUGUUGGGCAGCAUGACUGCUUAGUAGCGAAGCUAACGCGUGUAAUCGACCGCCUGGGGAGUACGGUCGCAAGAUUAAAACUCAAAGGAAUUGACGGGGACCCGCACAAGCGGUGGAUGAUGUGGAUUAAUUCGAUGCAACGCGAAGAACCUUACCUGGUCUUGACAUGUGCGGAACCCUCCAGAGACGGAGGGGUGCCUUCGGGAGCCGUAACACAGGUGCUGCAUGGCUGUCGUCAGCUCGUGUCGUGAGAUGUUGGGUUAAGUCCCGCAACGAGCGCAACCCUUGUCAUUAGUUGCCAUCAUUAAGUUGGGCACUCUAAUGAGACUGCCGGUGACAAGCCGGAGGAAGGUGGGGAUGACGUCAAGUCCUCAUGGCCCUUAUGACCAGAGCUUCACACGUCAUACAAUGGUCGGUACAGAGGGUAGCCAAGCCGCGAGGUGGA
RNAcentral lists this ribosomal RNA (477 nucleotides) under uncultured bacterium. RNAcentral describes it as "bacterial SSU rRNA". It matches the Rfam family "Bacterial small subunit ribosomal RNA", at positions 788 to 1266 of the family's 1533-position model. The record is from RNAcentral.